CCUGUAACGGGGCCAGCCUUUUUUGGGCAGGGGAGACAGGUGGUGCAUGGUUGUCGUCAGCUCGUGUCGUGAGAUGUUGGGUUAAGUCCCGCAACGAGCGCAACCCCUGCCCGCAGUAGCCAGCAUUUUAGAUGGGGACUCUGCGGGGACUGCCGGGGACAACCCGGAGGAAGGCGGGGAUGACGUCAAAUCAUCAUGCCCCUUAUGGCCUGGGCUACACACGUGCUACAAUGGCGCCGACAGAGGGAGGCGAAGCGGCGACGCGGAGCGAACCCCAAAAACGGCGUCCCAGUUCGGAUUGUAGUCUGCAACCCGACUACAUGAAGCCGGAAUCGCUAGUAAUCGCGGAUCAGAAUGCCGCGGUGAAUACGUUCCCGGGUCUUGUACACACCGCCCGUCACACCAUGGGAGCCGGGAAUGCCCGAAGUCUGUGACCGAACCCGGAAGGGGAGGGGCAGCCGAAGGCAGGCCCGGUGACUGGGGUGAAGUCGUAACAAGGUAACCGU
RNAcentral lists this ribosomal RNA (506 nucleotides) under uncultured bacterium. Its description in RNAcentral is "bacterial SSU rRNA". It matches the Rfam family "Bacterial small subunit ribosomal RNA", at positions 1000 to 1503 of the family's 1533-position model. The record is from RNAcentral.